UUCAACCAAGUCUUCAAUCCCUUUUCAUCUAACCAGAUGAAUCAAACGACCCUUUUCUUCAACCAAACUAAACCUUAGCGGUAUCCCACCAAAUCGGCCGAACAACCUGGGCCUAGCCAUGUUAGAGGUGCUAUUCAACUCUCACAUCCGCCUAUAUCCCCUCUUAUCCUUUCUCACACUCCAUCUAUGAAGAUUGCAGGGUCCAUGUGCGAUUUCAGCAGCUUUUUCUGGUACCCAUAUAUGGAUAGACGAGGUUAGAUGAAGAUGAUCCAGUGGAUUGGCGGGCUCCAUUUCCUCCAGGAGUGCUGCCGAGUCAGAGUAUGUAUGCUGUGAUGUCUGAUCAGUAUUAGAGACUUUGCAGACAGCGUCGUGGGUAAUGGUUGUCAGUCUGUAAGCGGCUCCAUCAGCCGAUACGUUAUUUUGUGUUAUGUAGUAAACUUCAUAGGUUUACAGAUUUUUGUUUAAUCUUGAUCGGUAAGAGGAAUAUUUUGACAGCUUAAUAUGUAUUUUACUUGUAUUUGAUUUGAUGGAUCCCAAGGAAUUAGGUGUGUAAUCAGAGUCUGCGGGUUCGCUCGGCUCCAUAUAUGGGGCCGGGUGCCCAUCACACCCUAAUAAGGUUAGGGUGUGACAUUGUUGUUGAUCUUACCUUAUGUUACUUGCUCCUUCAAGGAGGGAUAUAACGAUGAUGAUUAUUCCAUAUCAUAAAUCGGGGUUACCGACCUUACGUCAUUCCUAUUAA
Lycium barbarum (goji berry) is the source of this 739-nucleotide long non-coding RNA. RefSeq lists it as uncharacterized. The record is from RefSeq and is a predicted model, not a curated record. The transcript has 2 exons. Lineage: Eukaryota; Viridiplantae; Streptophyta; Magnoliopsida; Solanales; Solanaceae.